Gambusia affinis (western mosquitofish) is the source of this 398-nucleotide long non-coding RNA. RefSeq lists it as uncharacterized. NCBI's taxonomy places the organism in Eukaryota, Metazoa, Chordata, Actinopteri, Cyprinodontiformes, Poeciliidae. The record is from RefSeq and is a predicted model, not a curated record. The transcript is spliced from 3 exons.
AUUUGUAACAUUUUGCUGUUGAUCUCAUGGGGGCAGAAAGAGGAACGUAGAUCAGGAACAGACGUGGCAGAUCUGAAGAUUAGAGAUGAAAUCUGAACCAGCAGCAGCUGCUCAUGUUCCCCCAGCCGGUUAAAGCAAGAGAACAUCACUGUGGGCCACGAAUACAAAAACAGGACAACUCUGAAUUCAAGAGGUUAAAAAUGCCGUCCAACAAAGGUCCAAAACCCGGCGGCACAGCAGAGCGGAAAGCCAGAACUCAGCACUGGUGGAAACAGGUCGAACAUUGGACAGAAGAGACGGACCGGCUCCACUAACCUGUGACACUCGACUGACUUCAACAGACACUAAAUACACGGGAGUGUCCCUUAUGAAAGCAGGCUGACAGGAAAGGGGGAAGA